AUGGAUAGAUUUUGGGGAGGAUUAAACCGUGAUAUUCAAGAGAUACUAAUUCAUGAAGAGUGUUAUCCUAUGGACCAUUUAUUUCAUCUUGCUUGCAAAGCUGAACAGGAAAUAAAACGACGUCUUGGCCACGAGGAGAACAAGCGCACGGUGCACAUUCCAAGAGUUGAUAUGAUUGUUCCUUCAACUACUAGGCAUACUAUGACAACCACAUCCGUUGUUGUCAGGACUACAUCACCUCCACCAUGUGACACAUCGCCCCCGAGAGUGGCUACAUCAUCUGAGUUGAUCAUAAGAGGUAAUGACAAAGGUACUGAUCUUCCAUCUCUACAUGAGAAUGAAGAAUGCCUUGUCAAUUUGAAUGCACCAUCUGAUGAGCUACCCACUACUUUGAUCACACCACCUAUUUUAUAG
This 414-nucleotide ribosomal RNA is filed under the name Triticum aestivum (bread wheat). RNAcentral's name for it is "partial small subunit ribosomal RNA". The record is from RNAcentral. Lineage: Eukaryota; Viridiplantae; Streptophyta; Magnoliopsida; Poales; Poaceae.